CGGGGGGAGCAAGUCGUUGUUCGGAUUUACUGGGCGUAAAGGGCGCGUAGGCGGCGCAACAAGUCACUUGUCGAAAGUCUCCGGGCUUAACCCGGAGCGGCCAAGUGAUACUGUCGUGCUAGAGGUGCGGAAGGGGCUACUGGAAUUCUCGGUGUAGCGGUGAAAUGCGUAGAUAUCGAGAGGAACACCUGCGGCCGAAGGCGGGUAGCUGGGCCGACACUGACGCUGAUGCGCGAAAGCCAGGGGAGCGAACGGGAUUAGAUACCCCGGUAGUCCUGGCCUUAAACGAUGGAUACUUGGGUGUCCGGGGUUACAUAGUCCCCGGGUGCCGGCGCUAACGCAUUAAGUAUCCCGCCGUGGGGAGUACGGUCGCAAGAACUG
Molecule: ribosomal RNA, 381 nt
Filed under: uncultured organism
Description: bacterial SSU rRNA
Rfam family: Bacterial small subunit ribosomal RNA
Source: RNAcentral